GGUGAUAUGAACCGUUAUAACCGGCGAUACCCGAAUGGGGAAACCCAGUGUGAUUCGUCACACUAUCAUUAACUGAAUCCAUAGGUUAAUGAGGCGAACCGGGGGAACUGAAACAUCUAAGUACCCCGAGGAAAAGAAAUCAACCGAGAUUCCCCCAGUAGCGGCGAGCGAACGGGGAGGAGCCCAGAGCCUGAAUCAGCAUGUGUGUUAGUGGAAGCGUCUGGAAAGGCGCGCGAUACAGGGUGACAGCCCCGUACACAAAAGCGCAUGUGCUGUGAGCUCGAUGAGUAGGGCGGGACACGU
Molecule: ribosomal RNA, 303 nt
Filed under: Salmonella enterica subsp. enterica serovar Typhimurium var. 5-
Lineage: Bacteria; Pseudomonadati; Pseudomonadota; Gammaproteobacteria; Enterobacterales; Enterobacteriaceae
Description: bacterial LSU rRNA
Rfam family: Bacterial large subunit ribosomal RNA
Source: RNAcentral